GACGAACGCUGGCGGCGUGCUUAACACAUGCGAGUCGAACGGAAAGGCCAUGAUUUUGUGGGGUGCUCGAGAGGCGAAGGGGUGAGUAACACGUGAGUAACAUGCCCCUGACUUAGGGAUAACUUCAGGAAACUGGGGCUAAUACAGGAUAGGAGAUCCUGCUGCACGGGGGGGGAUGGAGAGUUUCGGCGGUGGGGGCUGGACUCGCGGGUUACGAGCUGGUUGGGGGGGUAGUGGCUUACCAGGGUUUUGACGGUUAGCCGGCCUGGGAGCGUGACCGGCCACAUUGCGCCUGCGAUACGGCCCAGACUCCUACGGUAGGCAGCAGUGGGGAAUAUUGCGCAAUGGGCGGGCGCCUGAUACAGCAGCGCCGCGUUCGUGAUGACCUCUUUCGAGUUGUAAACCGCUUUCGCCUGUGACGAAGCGUGAGUGACGGUAAUUGGUAAAGAAGCACCGGCUAACUACGUG
RNAcentral lists this ribosomal RNA (468 nucleotides) under uncultured bacterium. RNAcentral's name for it is "partial 16S ribosomal RNA". It matches the Rfam family "Bacterial small subunit ribosomal RNA", at positions 28 to 507 of the family's 1533-position model. The record is from RNAcentral.